Molecule: long non-coding RNA, 1248 nt
Filed under: Anas platyrhynchos platyrhynchos (common mallard)
Lineage: Eukaryota; Metazoa; Chordata; Aves; Anseriformes; Anatidae
Description: lncRNA (ENSAPLG00000018638.1)
Source: RNAcentral
GUCAAUAUAGGAUAUUUUUAUCUACCAUUGCAGUCUACAUCACUUCGGUAUUAACCAUCUCAAGCUAAAAUAUGCCAGACCAUUUGGGCCUUCGUAUAAUGAUGUUGUGAUUUAUUGCACUCUCAGUUUCCAUCCUGCAGCAAUUACCAGAAGAGCUGAUAAUGGUCUGCAAUUUGUUUUCCAGAACUGGGAGUAGCUGCCAGCAAGAGCCGCUCGCAGGGAAAGGUAGUGGCUGUUUACCUGGAUUGCUCAGCCAGACCAGGGAGGACAGACGCAAAUUCAUCCCCUGGACUAUGCCAUUGGCUCUGAAAGCAUCCAAGGUAUGGUUAAGGCCCACUAUUUUCUGUAAUUACUCUACCAUUGUUUCAUUUGUUAACCAGCUAACUAGGUGGUUCAUUCUCUUUACUCCGAGGUAAUGUAUGGGACACCUUGAUCCUGCAUAUAGAGACUUUUUACUGUAACACUACAUUUAAGCCAUUUUUAUGUGGUAUAGUGAGAAGAAUGGUUUGCUUUUAGUUUGCAUGAAUUACAUCCAAACCUGUGAAACUACAUUUUUAAAACUAGUUUUGCAAAUAGCAACACAUGUUAAUUGAAAGCAACCCCGCUCCCCAAAUCCUCACUAGAUUGAUUUUGGAACAUUACAAACCAGUGACAUUCAUUUCUGCAGCCUCAUUCAACCAUUGCAAUGAGCAAAUGAAACAAUUGUUUUAUUUGUAAGAGGAGAUUAUCCCUUCAAGGCAGAUAGAAGGAUAGUGCCUACAGAACCCCAUUUGCAGGCACAAAGAGCGCUUAGUCAAUUUUUGGCACUGAUACUGAAGCUAUUAGUUUUGGAUAUGAGUUCACUGAUGUUCAGUGCUGUAGAUUUCCAGCUAGUUCAUGAAGGGCCUUUAAAAUUACACACAGAGCUUCAUUAAUUGCCUCAGAAAAGCAGCAACAAAUACCAGGCCCUCAAAGUGUCUGUGCACAGAAUGGCCAUUGAUCUCAAUGAAUAUUCCUCACUGGAGGACUGAUCCUACCUCCUGGGAAGGCAGGCACAGUUUUUCCAUUGGUUGCAGCAGGCAUUGGCUCAAAGUACAAGAGCUUUCGCAAGAUCAGGUCCCACUAGCUGCUCUCGGCCUAUCUAUCUAUUUAAUUAUCUACGUAUUUGUUUUAUAUGCACUUACACAUACAUACAUAUACAUGAUCUUGGUUUGUUAAAAAUUUAACUCAAAUUGGAGACCAAUUUAAUACCAAAGAUGAGGCUUUAAA